CCUUCUCCUUCUCCUUCUUCUCAGUCUUGUCAGGUUUUGUCCCCAUUCUCUUCUACAUUUUCUCAGAGAACCAACUUUCAGCCUUGUUGGUUUGAUCAUCUCUGGUGUAUCUUUGUUUUGCACUUCUUUCAUUUCUGUUUUUUAUUAUUUCCUUCCUUUUUUUUAAACUUUUGAGUUUGAGACUUACCUCAUAUUCAAUCUCCUCUGCCCUUGAAGUAAUUCUUCAACUGCAGCUCACAUUUUGAUAUGAAAAAUUUCAUUAUUGUUUAGCUCUCAAUUUUUCUAACUUUUGUGAUGUUUUCUCUUUUGACCAAGAUGUUCUUCAGUAAUCUGAUCUAAAAUUUCCAAACAUAUAUGGGGUUUUAAAAGUUUUCCUGUUACUGAUUUCUAACAGAAUUUUAUUGUGGUCAGAGAACUUGUUAGUAAUUCUUUAUUAUUUCUUGAGCCUUGCUUUGGGGCCAGUAUGUGGUGAGUCCUCUAAUGACUGUAAAGUUCUAUAAAUUUCAGCCAGAUUUUUUUCUAAUUAUGCUUUUUAUUUAUUUUUUUUUAAUAUGAAAUUUAUUGUCAAAUUGGUUUCCAUACAACACCCAGUGCUCAUCCCAACAGGUGCCCUCCUCAAUACCCAUCACCCACCCUCCCCUCCCUCUCACCCCCCAUCAACCCUCACUUUGUUGUCAGUUUUUAACAGUCUGUUACGUUUUGGCUCCCUCCCUCUCUAACCUUUUUUUUCCCUUCCCCUCCCCCAUGGUCUUCUGUUAAGUUUCUCAGGAUCCACAUAAGUGUGAAAACAUAUGGUAUUUGUCUUUCUCUGUAUUACUUAUUUCACUUAGCUUAACACUCUCCAGUUCCAUCCACAUUGCUACAAAAGCCAUAUUUCAUUCUUUCUCAUUGCCACGUAGUAUUCCAUUGUGUAUAUAAACCACAAUUUCUUUAUCCAUUCAUCAGUUGAUGGAAAUUUAGGCUCUAUAAAGAACUCACCAAACUCCACACCCAAAAAACAAAUAAUCCAGUGAAGAAAUGGGCAGAAAACAUGAAUAGACAUUUCUCUAAAGAAGACACCCAGAUGGCCAACAGGCACAUGAAAAGAUGUUCAACAUCACUCCUCAUCAGGGAAAUACAAAUCAAAAACCACACUCAGAUACCACCUCACAUCAGUCAGAGUGGCUAAAAUGAACAAAUGAGGAGACUAUAGAUGCUGGUGAAGAUGUGGAGAAACGGGAACCCUCUUGCACUGUUGGUGGGAAUGCCAACUGGUGCAGCCACUCUGGACAACAGUGUGGAGGUUCCUCAAAAAAUUAAAAAUAGACCUACCCUAUGACCCAGCAAUAGCACUGCCAGGAAUUUACCCAAGGGAUACAGGAGUUCUGAUGCAUAGGGGCACUUGUACCCCAAUGUUUAUAGCAGCACUUUCAACAAUAGCCAAACUAUGGAAAGAGCCUAAUUAUGCUUUUUUAUAUUUUCUUCAAAUUUGAUAAUUAUUUUCCUUGCUUAACCCAUUAAUACUAAGAAAAAUGUGUUUAAAUCUACUAAUAUAAUUGUGGGUUGUAAAUUCCAGCGAUUUUUAAAUUACAUAUUGAGGUUAUAUUGUUAAAUGUACCUAAGUUUAGAAUCAUUUUAUCUUUCUGGAAAAUUGUUACUUUUAUCACUAUAUAGUAGCAAUUUUUAUUCUUAAAUAGAUUUUGCUUUAAAGUGUGUUUUAGUUGAUAUCAAAUUAGCACUACUAGUUUUCUUUCCAUGAAUAUGUUCCUGACAUAAUUUUUUUAGCCUAGUAUUCUUUUGCUUUUAAUAUUUAUGAGUCUUUUAUUUUAGGACCCAGAUAUAACACAUUUUAAAGUAACAUAUAGAUGGAUAUUUUUGUUCUAAAGAUUUAUUUUAUUGAAAAAAUCAUUUUUGACAUUUGUUAAUUAAUUUAAAAAUAUUUUUACCUGCUUCAUCUGCAUUUUCUGUUUACUCUUUUCGUGCUUCAAUCUCCCCAUAUUAGUUACUUCUAUUGGUUUAGUUUUUAAAAAACUUCCUCACCAACAUACACUGAUUUGAGUUUCUAUUCUAUAUUUUUACUUAAAACAUUUUUUAAUGUUUAUUUUAUUUUUGAGCAGGGGAGGAGCAGAGAUAGAGGGAGGCACAGAAUCUAGAGAAGGCUCCAGGCUCUGAGCUGUCAGCACAGAGCCUGACUUAGGGCUUGAACCCUCAAACCAUGAGAUCAUAACCUGAGACAAAGUCAGAUACUUAACCGACUGAGCCACCCAGACGCCCCAUCUUUACUUAAAAAAAAAUCAAAACACAACACUUUUAUUGCAAAAUAAUUUAAGACUUACAAAAAAUGAGCUUCAAAAAUAGUAUAAAACAUUCUGUAUUCUUCCUCUUCAUCUAGCUUCUCCAAAUAUUAAUAUCUCACAUAGACAUAGUACAAUGGCCACAACCAGCAAGUUAACAUUGAUACAAUAUAUUAUUAAUUCAUCUACAGAUCUUAUUCAAACUUCACUGAUUGUCUCACUGAUGUUCUUUUCUCUGUUUCAGGAUCCAAUCCCGGAUCACACGUUGCAUGUUAACUACAUCUCCAAUUUGAGACAAGGCCUCAGUCUUUGUCUUCCAUGACUUGACACUUCUGAACAGUAUUAGUCUCCAUGUGCUGUCCAGUUGUUCCAGCACCAUUUGGUGAAAGGAUUAUCUUCUCUCCAUUGUAUUUCUUUGCUCCCUGUCAAAGGAAAGCUGCAUAUAAGGAUUGAAGAGCCAGGAGAGUGCCUCAGAAAGCCUGCCUAUGGCAAUGAUGCUUGUCUUGCAAUGCCAGAAUCAUUUCUAGAGCAUGCCACUUUCAUGGCAUACUGAUAAAGUCUUAGUAAAACCAAAUUAUUCCUAAUACAUUUUUUAGUAUUGAAGGUGGGGCUGACUUUGCUAACUGAUAUGAAGCCAGGAUGAUCACAUGAAUGUGGGUGUGCUAAGCCCAAAUGCUACCUAUGUGUGAAAGCACUUUUGAGUAUCUUAAUUCUUUUUAUGUUUUUGUCAAUUUGCUCCAAGUCCUGGUUUAUCUCUCAGCUUUCUGCUAACUUACAUUACAUUCAGCUUUCUCCUCUUAACCACUAAAUUCUUCUGUACCUCAAGAAAGUCUUGAAAUACCCCUUUCUUCCAAGAAGUUUCCCUUGACUUGUUGGAAUAGCAGUCCUUGAACCACCUCAUUUGGGUAUGGGGUUUUUAUGUGCCUACCCUCAAUUCUCUGAGCCAUAAAAAAGCACUUACUUGUCCCUAUUUUGCUUAAGUUUUAUUAUCCUCUAGCACUUAUAUGCUUCCCUGAGCCAUGUCACUUGAAGGACAGCAGAAAGUAUAUUUGGCUGGGAGGAAGAACUGGCCAUGGUUAAAUUAAAGGGCAAUGAGGCCAGACAACUCCGAGUGUGACACAUCCUGCUCUUACCAGCCUUGUAGUCUUGAAUUUCUCUCUUAGGUCCUGAUUUCCUCAUCUGUGAAAUGGACAUAAUACCUUCUAGCUCAUUAGGUUGUCAUAACACUAUUGGGAAGGCUAAAUGAGAUAAUUUGGUACAAUGUCUAGCAUCUGGUAAGCCCCCAACAAGUAGAGAAUUAGGUGGACAGCUGAUAAAUGCUUUCUGACAAUGAUUAGGCAAAUAUAAGGUAAACUAAAAUUUAAGUAUGUAUUUUGUGUGUUAAAACUAUAUAUAUAAAAGUGAUACAACUAAUGAAAAUGCUGACAUAAAGAUGCUUAGAGGAAAAAUGACAUCUAAGUUAUAUCUUGUAUUAAAGACAUUUUUUUUUGAGAAUCCAACCCAAUGUCUUAUUUAUUUAUUUAUUUAUUUAUUUAUUUUUUCAACGUUUAUUUAUUUUUGGGACAGAGAGAGACAGAGCAUGAAUGGGGGAGGGGCAGAGAGAGAGGGAGACACAGAAUCAGAAACAGGCUCCAGGCUCUGAGCCAUCAGCCCAGAGCCUGACGCGGGGCUCGAACUCACGGACCGCGAGAUCGUGACCUGGCUGAAGUCGGACGCUUAACCGACUGCGCCACCCAGGCGCCCCUUAUUUUUUUAAUAUAAAAUUUAUUGUCAAAUUGGUUUCCAUAC
This is a long non-coding RNA of Acinonyx jubatus (cheetah), 4061 nucleotides long. RefSeq lists it as uncharacterized. Lineage: Eukaryota; Metazoa; Chordata; Mammalia; Carnivora; Felidae. The record is from RefSeq and is a predicted model, not a curated record. The transcript has 3 exons.